Molecule: unclassified non-coding RNA, 253 nt
Filed under: uncultured Colwelliaceae bacterium
Lineage: Bacteria; Pseudomonadati; Pseudomonadota; Gammaproteobacteria; Alteromonadales; Colwelliaceae
Description: contains 16S-23S intergenic spacer region
Rfam family: Bacterial small subunit ribosomal RNA
Source: RNAcentral
UACAGAGGGUGCGAGCGUUAAUCGGAAUUACUGGGCGUAAAGCGUGCGUAGGCGGUGAUGUAAGUUAGAUGUGAAAAGCUUGGGCUCAACCUGAGUCGUGCAUUUGAUACUGCAUCACUAGAGAUCGAUAGAGGAUGUUGGAAUUUCCAGUGUAGCGGUGAAAUGCGUAGAUAUUGGAAGGAACACUGAUGGCGAAGGCAAACAUCUGGGUCGAUACUGACGCUGAGGCACGAAAGCGUGGGGAGCAAACAGG